Molecule: ribosomal RNA, 559 nt
Filed under: uncultured bacterium
Lineage: Bacteria
Description: bacterial SSU rRNA
Rfam family: Bacterial small subunit ribosomal RNA
Source: RNAcentral
CCCUGGCCGGUGUUGUGACAUGCCUAAUACAUGCAAGUCGAGCGAACAGAGAAGGAGCUUGCUCCUUCGACGUUAGCGGCGGACGGGUGAGUAACACGUGGGCAACCUACCUUAUAGUUGGGAUAACUCCGGGAAACCGGGGCUAAUACCGAAUAAUCUAUUUUACUUCAUGGUGAAAUACUGAAAGACGGUUUCGGCUGUCGCUAUAAGAUGGGCCCGCGGCGCAUUAGCUAGUUGGUGAGGUAACGGCUCACCAAGGCGACGAUGCGUAGCCGACCUGAGAGGGUGAUCGGCCACACUGGGACUGAGACACGGCCCAGACUCCUACGGGAGGCAGCAGUAGGGAAUCUUCCACAAUGGGCGAAAGCCUGAUAGGAGCAACGCCGCGUNGAGUAGAAGAAGGUUUCGGAUCGUAAAACUCUGUUGUAAGGGAAGAACAAAGUACAGUAGUAACUGGCUGUACCUUGACGGUACCUUAUUAGAAAGCCACGGGUUAACUACGUAGCCCAGCAAGCCNGCGAGUAAUACCGGUAGGGUGGNCAAAGCGUUGGUCCCGGGA